RNAcentral lists this long non-coding RNA (2651 nucleotides) under Bemisia tabaci. RNAcentral describes it as "lncRNA ENSSSA2NGG000203". Lineage: Eukaryota; Metazoa; Arthropoda; Insecta; Hemiptera; Aleyrodidae. The record is from RNAcentral.
UGGGUCAUUGUCACGAGGAAAGUCACCGUAUGAGCCUUCGGAAGUUGCCAAAUUUCUUAAAUAAAACACGAAUUUCCUGAAAAAUUCGUGAAUAUUUUCCUCCACACCCGUUUGAAUCAUUUUGAUCAUGAUUUACUUUAAAGUGUGUGAAAAUUUCAAGGAGAAAUAUUCACAACUUUCGUCUAAAAUUGCUAUUUUACCGGGUGAAAUUAGGCAACGCUGGAGUGAUUAUACGACGUUCUUCCUGAGCGCGAUAGGUCGGCUGCCGGAUUUCAGUUGGAUUCUGCACGAUUUGGCGACAGGGCCGCGUUUGGAACCAACUUGGCGGACUUCCCUCAUAUUUGCACCACGGAAGAAUAUUCGCGUAUAAAAGCGUUUGUGGCUUACCUAAUCGAUACAGUUUAUUCAUAUCGUUUACUCGACAGUGAUCUUCUUCUAAUUUUUUGCAUCUUCACGCUACGAUGGAUUUCACACUCUUGAGAUCUCUGCUCCUGAUGUUAGUCGCUCUGAUCGCGUUCGCUGUCGCUGCUCCGGAACCAGGCUACGGAGGCGGCGGAGGUCACCACCACGGAGGAGGCGGAGGUCACCACCACGGUGGAGGCGGAGGUCACCAUCACGGUGGAGGAGGAAGCCACCAUCACGGUGGAGGUGGAGGUCACGGAGGUCACUACGGAGGUCACUACGGAGGUGGCGGCGGAGGUCACCACCAUGGGGGUCAUCACCACGGUUGAAAAAUCCCUCGAAAGCCCUCACCAUUCCUACAUGGGCCUCGCCUCGCAUUGUUGAACAAAAGUUACCACUAAUUCAAUUAUUAAUUUAUUUGUUUAAGUAAAUAGGCUAUUUAUUUAUCUCUGGAUAAAAAGCGACGAACAAAGCAAAAAAACUAGAGCUGAUCCCGCACUCAUGAUUUUGAUGUAUUGUUCCUUCAACAAAGGAUCAUAAGCUUAAAAAUUGAUCUAUCGUAAUGUGAUGAUUGAUGAAAUUUACCAGAAAUGGAUACGUUUUUCGAUCUCAAGGAGCUUCAAAAGCUCUAUCAAUUAUUCAAUAAAAAUUUUCUUCGUUCUCUUUUGUAAAUAUGCCUUUGUAAAAUGUGUAAAAAGAAUUUAAAAAAACUUGUAAAUACUCGCGAUGUGUAAAUAAAAAAUUUAAAAUUGAAAAUAAAAUUGUGACCUCUUUCAUCAUGGUAGCAUGCAUUCCUGAUUCAAUAAGUGAAGUCAUUUCUUCCUAGCGGAUGUUUACGUCGGGAAAAACACGGAGGAAAAAAUUGCUGAUUCAACAAUUCAAUUGCUAAAAACAGUGAGUGCAAUGUUUCAACGCAGAUUUUACAACGAAAAAAUGCUACUUUAACCACCCCCGUGGUUAAAUUAGUUUACAAUGUGGUUAGAGUAGCAUUUAUUUGUUGUAAAAUCUGCGUUGAAACAUUGCACUCACUGUUUUUAGCAAUUGAAUUGUUGAAUCAGCAAUUUUUUUUCCGAGAAGUUAUCACCAAGUCAUAACUUGCGUGUUGUGGCCAAUGUUAUUUUAUUGUUGGUGUUUUAUGUCCAAACUGCUGAUGCGGAAAAACGUAACUUUAGCAUUCCCAGUGUUAUGCCGACAUGAUGAAAUUAAAUCAACUAUCAAGAUACCGAAAGUUCAAGUCAAGAGUGCCUGCAUUCACUGCGACAUUUCAAAAUUGUAGGACGUAUUUGCCUUUUAAAUGUAAAAGUAUAAUAACAUUUACUUGAAAAUGAAAAAAUGUUGAAUAGUUUGCUUCAUAAAGAAAAACAAACAAAACGACAGAAAAUACUCGCAACGUUGCAAUCUAAAAUAAGCAUGUUUUUCGCUGAGAGCCUCGAUAAUCUGUUAUACAAUAAAAAAAACCUCAGAUAAUAUAAAGAAAGAAACAAAUAUCAAACUAUCUCUUGAUACUAUAUUUAUUCGCUGACUUCCAUUUCAGUUGUGAUUUUAUCAUCAGCUGUGAUUUAGCUUGUGGAAACCUUUCUUGGGAAAUUUUUGAGAAAAGUUACUAGAGGUAAAGUUUGGUUUUGUCUCGAAUGAUAAUUUACGCAUUAUCAAGUGUGUAAUACACGCAUUUUACCACCAUGGCGCAAAUCAGAAACAAGGUUCUGUGUUUGUUUACAUUUCUACCAGGGGUUCGAUAUUACAUCAAAAGUGACGUAACCACUGAAUCAGUCUAUAAAUCGACCAAAUCCACUAGCGAAGAUUCGCCUUAAGGGGUGGGUGAGAGCGAGAGAAAGAAUUAUUUUUGUUUCGAGCCCAAUGUCACGCGGUCAUAGAGAGCAAAAGUAGCAUGACGCAAGCACGAUUAUAAGAUCAAUUCAAUUCAUUGAUCAGCGCAUGAGUGUGCGUGCAAUUGCACGCACACUGCUUCACGUGUACGCUAUCAGACCGCUCCCUGGACCGUGUCACACACGGUCAACAGCCGCAGGAGAACUGCCGUGCUAAGGAAGAGCGCCGUAUCAACAUUCGAGGGUUGCCAAAUUUCCUACGAUAAAAAUAACAUUUUGAGGAUAUUUGCGAAUAUUUUCUCCUGGAUUUGCAGAUGAUUUAGAUCUGGCUGCGAAUAGAAUUAUCUGUAAACACUGGUAAAAAAAACACAUUUGAUCUAGAGUCUAGACUCUUGAAAGCAUCGACAAGAAAAAGGACUCUUG